This 30-nucleotide non-coding RNA is filed under the name Homo sapiens (human). The record is from RNAcentral. Lineage: Eukaryota; Metazoa; Chordata; Mammalia; Primates; Hominidae.
UGAAUGUAUUAGCUGAGCUACAUCAGGAGC